RNAcentral lists this ribosomal RNA (460 nucleotides) under uncultured bacterium. RNAcentral describes it as "partial 16S ribosomal RNA". It matches the Rfam family "Bacterial small subunit ribosomal RNA", at positions 338 to 795 of the family's 1533-position model. The record is from RNAcentral.
CCUACGGGAGGCAGCAGUGAGGAAUAUUGGUCAAUGGACGCAAGUCUGAACCAGCCAUGCCGCGUGCGGGAAGAAGGCUCUAUGAGUUGUAAACUGCUUUUGUAGGAGGGAAAACGAAGAUACGUGUAUCUGUCUGAAAGUAUCGUACGAAUAAGGAACGGCUAACUCAGUGCCAGCAGCCGCGGUAAUACGGAGGAUUCAAGCGUUAUCCGGAUUUAUUGGGUUUAAGGGGUGCGUAGGCGGUCGGGUAAGUUAGAGGUGAAAUCCCGAGGCUCAACUUCGGAAUUGCCUUAGAUACUGUUCGGCUAGAGAGCAGUUGCGGUAGGCGGAAUGUAUGGUGUAGCGGUGAAAUGCUUAGAGAUCAUACAGAACACCGAUUGCGAAGGCAGCUUACCAAGCUACUUCUGACGUUGAGGCACGAAAGCGUGGGGAGCAAACAGGAUUAGAUACCCGUGUAGUC